CCCAAAUCCUCCAAAAUACCCAAAUUUAGCAAAAAUCCACAGCGCGACUCAUCAAAAGCCACCCGUUCACAACAGAACCACCAAAAUCAAAAUAUUUGUUGAAAACCCUAAGCAUCACCGACCCAACGUCAAAAUCACGAAGGUGUGACCGAAUCCCAAAUUACCCACCAAUGAUUACACCCAAAAAAGCCCCAAUCGUGCUCCCACGAUGCUCAGAACAAAACCUAAAACGAACAAAAACAGCUACGGGGCGAUCAAAAGAAAAAAAAAAUUCUGAGACCAAAGAAGCGAAUUUUUCUUCUGAGAAUUUUGAACUGGAUAAAUCAAAGCAAUAGAUAGCAAUCACGUUAAGAGAAGAUGGAAUCUAAUAGGGGAAUUUAGGGGCUCUACAUAAGGUUCUCUCCACGAAACCCCUUCAUUUUUUUUUUUUUUAAUAUUGUUAUUGAAAUCUGCAAUUUCUUCUUUUCUUUAUAACUUCUUUUAUAUCAACAGGCAGUAGGAAAAAAAAAUUCACAGAGAUCCUUCUGCAAGAAGCAACCACCUGCGGGUAGCAGAAGAGCUCUCUCUCUCUCUCUCUCUCUCU
Molecule: unclassified non-coding RNA, 583 nt
Filed under: Hevea brasiliensis (rubber tree)
Lineage: Eukaryota; Viridiplantae; Streptophyta; Magnoliopsida; Malpighiales; Euphorbiaceae
Source: RNAcentral